Molecule: ribosomal RNA, 473 nt
Filed under: uncultured delta proteobacterium
Lineage: Bacteria; Deltaproteobacteria
Description: bacterial SSU rRNA
Rfam family: Bacterial small subunit ribosomal RNA
Source: RNAcentral
CGUGAGUGAAGAAGGCCUUUGGGUCGUAAAGCUCUGUCAACUGGGAAGAAAUUAUUAUGCUUUAAUAGAGGAUAGUAUUGACGGUACCAGUGGAGGAAGCGCCGGCUAACUCCGUGCCAGCAGCCGCGGUAACACGGGGGGCGCAAGCGUUAUUCGGAAUUAUUGGGCGUAAAGGGCGCGUAGGCGGUUUUGUCGGUCAGAUGUGAAAGCCCAGGGCUCAACCCUGGACGUGCAUUUGAAACAGCAAGACUUGAGUACGGGAGAGGAAAGCGGAAUUCCUGGUGUAGAGGUGAAAUUCGUAGAUAUCAGGAGGAACACCGAUGGCGAAGGCAGCUUUCUGGACCGAUACUGACGCUGAGGCGCGAAGGCGUGGGUAGCGAACAGGAUUAGAUACCCUGGUAGUCCACGCAGUAAACGAUGUUCACUAGGUGUAGCGGGUAUUAAAAUCUGCUGUGCCGCAGCUAACGCAUUAA